ACGCUGGCGGCAGGCUUAACACAUGCAAGUCGAGCGGUAACAGAGAUAGCUUGCUAUCUGCUGACGAGCGGCGGACGGGUGAGUAAUGCUUGGGAAUAUGCCAUAUGGUGGGGGACAACAGUUGGAAACGACUGCUAAUACCGCAUAACGUCUACGGACCAAAGAGGGGGACCUUCGGGCCUCUUGCCAUUUGAUUAGCCCAAGUGAGAUUAGCUAGUUGGUAAGGUAAUGGCUUACCAAGGCGACGAUCUCUAGCUGGUUUGAGAGGAUGAUCAGCCACACUGGGACUGAGACACGGCCCAGACUCCUACGGGAGGCAGCAGUGGGGAAUAUUGCACAAUGGGCGAAAGCCUGAUGCAGCCAUGCCGCGUGUGUGAAGAAGGCCUUCGGGUUGUAAAGCACUUUCAGUUGUGAGGAAAGGGGUGUAGUUAAUAACUGCAUCCUGUGACGUUAGCAACAGAAGAAGCACCGGCUAACUCCGUGCCAGCAGCCGCGGUA
This 498-nucleotide ribosomal RNA is filed under the name uncultured Gammaproteobacteria bacterium. RNAcentral's name for it is "bacterial SSU rRNA". It matches the Rfam family "Bacterial small subunit ribosomal RNA", at positions 33 to 522 of the family's 1533-position model. The record is from RNAcentral. Lineage: Bacteria; Pseudomonadati; Pseudomonadota; Gammaproteobacteria.